This 434-nucleotide ribosomal RNA is filed under the name uncultured bacterium. RNAcentral describes it as "partial 16S ribosomal RNA". It matches the Rfam family "Bacterial small subunit ribosomal RNA", at positions 29 to 507 of the family's 1533-position model. The record is from RNAcentral.
AACGAACGCUGGCGGCAUGCCUAACACAUGCAAGUCGAACGAGAUCUUCGGGUCUAGUGUCGCACGGGUGCGUAACGCGUGGGAAUCUGCCCUCAGGUUCGGAAUAACCAUUGGAAACGAUGGCCAAUACCGGAUGAUGACGUUAAGUCCAAAGAUUUAUCGCCUGAGGAUGAGCACGCGUAGGAUUAGCUUGUUGGUGUGGUAAAGGCGCACCAAGGCGACGAUCCUUAGCUGGUCAGAGAGGAUGAUCAGCCACACUGGGACGGAGACACGGCCCAGACUCCUGCGGGAUGCGGCAGUGGGGAAUAUUGGACAGCCGGCGAAAGCCUGAUCCAGCAAUGCCGCGUGAGUGAUGAAGUCCGGAGAGUUGUAAAGCUCUUUUACCCGGGAUGAUAAUGACAGUACCGGGAGAAUAAGCUCCGGCUAACUCCGUG